Molecule: transfer RNA, 76 nt
Filed under: Pseudomonadales bacterium
Lineage: Bacteria; Pseudomonadati; Pseudomonadota; Gammaproteobacteria; Pseudomonadales
Also listed under: 1 other name
Description: tRNA-His
Rfam family: tRNA
About the family: Transfer RNA (tRNA) molecules are approximately 80 nucleotides in length. Their secondary structure includes four short double-helical elements and three loops (D, anti-codon, and T loops).
Source: RNAcentral
GUGGAUGUAGCUCAGCAGGUAGAGCCCCGGAUUGUGGAUCCGGUGGUCGUGGGUUCAAGCCCCAUCAUCCACCCCA